Molecule: ribosomal RNA, 253 nt
Filed under: uncultured bacterium
Lineage: Bacteria
Description: partial 16S ribosomal RNA
Rfam family: Bacterial small subunit ribosomal RNA
Source: RNAcentral
UACGGAAGGUUCGGGCGUUAUCCGGAUUUAUUGGGUUUAAAGGGAGCGUAGGCCGGAGAUUAAGUGUGUUGUGAAAUGUAGACGCUCAACGUCUGACUUGCAGCGCAUACUGGUUUCCUUGAGUACGCACAACGUUGGCGGAAUUCGUCGUGUAGCGGUGAAAUGCUUAGAUAUGACGAAGAACUCCGAUUGCGAAGGCAGCUGACGGGAGCGCAACUGACGCUUAAGCUCGAAGGUGCGGGUAUCAAACAGG